GAUGAAGAACGUAGCGAAAUGCGAUAAGUAAUGUGAAUUGCAGAAUUCAGUGAAUCAUCGAAUCUUUGAACGCACAUUGCGCCCGCCAGUAUUCUGGCGGGCAUGCCUGUUCGAGCGUCAUUUCAACCAUCAAGCCCCCGGCUUGUGUUGGGGACCUGCGGCUGCCGCAGGCCCUGAAAACCAGUGGCGGGCUCGCUAGUCACACCGAGCGCAGUAAUACAUCUCGCUUUGGGCGUGCGGCGGGUUCUUGCCGUUAAACACCCCCUUUUUACCAAGGUUGACCUCGGAUCAGGUAGGAAUACCCGCUGAACUUAAGCAUAUCAAUAAGCGGAGGA
This 335-nucleotide unclassified non-coding RNA is filed under the name soil metagenome. RNAcentral's name for it is "partial contains 5.8S ribosomal RNA, internal transcribed spacer 2, and large subunit ribosomal RNA". The stretch from base 1 to 120 matches the Rfam family "5.8S ribosomal RNA", at positions 35 to 154 of the family's 154-position model. The record is from RNAcentral.